GGGUUCGCGUGCGAGGCGCGCCUGGAGGCCUCAGCGCCAGGAGGUCCUCAGCCGGCUGCUCAGCCCGCCGAGUGGGGAACACUGAAGACGCUGACCCGGGGUUGGCUCCUCGCUAUCCUGCGCCCAACCCAGUAGACCGAAAGUCCACCAGGCCUCCGCCGCCUUGGCUUCUCGAGUUUCUUUGUACGACAGUAAUCGGUGCAGAGGUUGUUCAAGUCCAGCCCCGAUUUAAAGGCAGCAGGUAUCUCUUUCAGCUACAGCACUCCAACUUCCUCUCAUGGCACUCUCAGGUUGCAGGAAACCACCGCGACAGCUCUGUGAACCUUCCCACGCCGGCCCUGACACCGAGCUUGCUCGCACAGCCACGCAGCUGGGGCUCCUCCAAGUCUCAGCUUCACACGGGUGGGGAGACAAAGCUGGCGCUGGGAGGGGAAAAAAUGGCCAGCGAAAUUGCCUCAAGAUAGUCCCUUUGUUAGAGGAACAGUGGAUACACUGCGAAUGCGACAAGGGCUUCCAACCCCAGCGGGUUCUGUGGUGCAGUCGUUGAAUUGCGCUGGCCCUGAUAGUUCAGCCUGGCAGGGUUUGCGAUUAUUGCGGAGAGAGACUCAAGCAUUCUGUCAACACAUAUGGCAUAGAAAGCUUCAACCAUAACAUUGCACAGUUUUUGCAGUUACUGCUUUAAAUAUAUUAACAAGACGUCCUUGUUUUACCCAGUGAAGAAACGGAAUAGAUACGCAGCAAACCAUCAAACACCCCCAACUCCCUGCUGUACUUAACUGUGUACAGUGAUGAUAAUUAGACUCUGGGUCCCUGAAGUCACUAGUUCAGUUCUUCCAUCUGUAUUCCAGAGAUAAUUAUUUAUUACCAAGUUUGAGUAAAGAGUUAUAUGCAGAAUAUUUUUGGCUUGCACCCAAAGGAAGGAGUAUGUAAAGUCCACCAAAGAAUUGUUUACUGAAGUGAGUUCUAUGCUGGUGACAAACAUUUGAAGUAACUCAAGAGAUAUUCAAGUCAUUCUGAAUAGAUAUGGGAUCGUGUUAACUACAUCCAGAACUGAUGAAAUUAACACCGUCUUAGUUCCUUAGAGCAGAAAUUGAACAUUUACAAUAGUACCAAAGCAUUUAGUGCUGAAUUAAAAGUAAGAGCGUUAGCCAGAAGCUAGAAAAUGGCAGAUAUACUGGUGAUACCAAGUUGGUGUUUUAUAUGAAUAUGAAUCUUAACUGCAUAAAAAGCCAAAGAGUUGGAUAAGCUGUCUUUCAUAGUCACUAGAAAGAUAUCUUUGAAAAACUGGUUAGAGUCUGAUCAGAACUCGGUGGCAUAGCUUGAGCUGAAAGGGCCCCUUUCCUAAAGCAUCCCAGAGUGGAAUAUCUCCCAUAUCAAUGGGAAAUCAGCUAGAUUCUAGGAUUCUAGUGAAGUACCAUAAAUUCAAGUAAACCUAAUCCAUCUCUCCAAACUUAAAUAAGUAGGACCGAUCAAGUCUCUAGGAUAAGACUUGACCCAGCCUUGAUUUUAACUCAUUCUGAGAAUUCAUCUGGGUAAGAAUCAUUCAGGCUAGAAAAGGCUGUAGCACCAAAAUCCUUUCUCCCGAUCACCUGAAAUUCUGCUAUUAGAGUUUUAUCCCUCUGAGUAGUUACUCUAGUAUAAAACCAUAAUCCAAAAACCCUAAUAUUUUAAGCUUCAAAAGCCACUUAUAUCUAAUUCAUCAGAUUGUUUCUCUAAAGCAGAUUUUGAUGGAAGAGAAAAAAAUAACAUGCUGAUGCUGAGAAGAUAGAACAGGGAAAGGGGCCUUUCAUUCCUCUGUGCAAUAGAGGGAGCAUAGAGGAGUACAUGAAAAAAAAAAUUACUCCUACUUAAUGGCCAAGUAGGUUCUGCUUACUCAAACUAUAACAAUGAACCCUAAAACACUGGCCUUAAAAGAAUAGAACAUCUGUAAACCCAGGUAACUUUAAAGGUUAAGGCAGGAGGAUCCCAAAUUCAAGGCCAACCUCAGCAAUUUAGUGAGACCCUGACUCAAAAAUUGAAAGGUAGGUUUAGGGGUGUAGCUUAGUGGUAGAGUGUUUCCCUGGCAUACACAGGGUCUUGGGUUUGAUCCCUAGCACCACAAAAGAGAGAGAGAAUGGAAGCAAGGAUACACUUGUCAAUAAUUAUCUAUUUUGUAAAAUAUUUCUUUAAUUAUCCCUUUAUAAAGUACUUUCCCAGGAAUCUGUAUCCGUGAAAUGAAAACAUACAAUCAGGGUAAUCAAUAUUCAGAAAUAAUGAUUUAUCUUCAUUAUUCAUCACUGACUACUUAGUUCUAACUCAUAUGAGCAAUGCAGACAAAUAUAGUCAAAUCUUCAUUUGUUCUUUUAUAUGAGACAUUCCUAUUCCAUGCUUUACAGAUUGGUUUCCUUUGAAAGUCCUCCCACAGGACCUUGGACUAAAGAUGGACUGAACUUUUUAUUUAUGAUUAAACAGAGAACUUAAACCCCACCUUAAGCUAAGCUGCCUAGCUGUGAUUCUGUAAUGAUUAACUGAAUCCCAACACCACCUUAGAGAGUAAGUUAAUGUGUGUUGAUAAUAAAGCUUCAUCUUCUCCAUUAUGAUUUCUCUAAAUGAU
RNAcentral lists this long non-coding RNA (2593 nucleotides) under Marmota monax (woodchuck). Lineage: Eukaryota; Metazoa; Chordata; Mammalia; Rodentia; Sciuridae. The record is from RNAcentral.